GGUUAAGUGACUAAGCGUACACGGUGGAUGCCUGGGCAGUCAGAGGCGAUGAAGGACGUACUAACUUGCGAUAAGCGCAGAUAAGGCAGUAAGAGCCGUUUGAGUCUGCGAUUUCCGAAUGGGGAAACCCAACUGCAUAAGCAGUUACUGUUAACUGAAUACAUAGGUUAACAGAGCAAACCGGGGGAACUGAAACAUCUAAGUACCCCGAGGAGAAGAAAUCAACCGAGAUUCCGGUAGUAGCGGCGAGCGAACCUGGAUUAGCCCUUAAGCACUCGGUGAAGUAGGUGAACAAGCUGGAAAGCUUGGCGAUACAGGGUGAUAGCCCCGUAACCGACGCUUCAUCGAGCGUGAAAUCGAGUAGGGCGGGACACGUGAUAUCCUGUCUGAAUAUGGGGGGACCAUCCUCCAAGGCUAAAUACUCCUGACUGACCGAUAGUGAACCAGUACCGUGAGGGAAAGGCGAAAAGAACCCCUGUGAGGGGAGUGAAAUAGAACCUGAAACCGUGUACGUACAAGCAGUAGGAGCACCUUCGUGGUGUGACUGCGUACCUUUUGUAUAAUGGGUCAGCGACUUAUAUUCAGUGGCAAGGUUAACCGUAUAGGGGAGCCGUAGCGAAAGCGAGUCUUAACUGGGCGCUCAGUCUCUGGAUAUAGACCCGAAACCGGGUGAUCUAGCCAUGGGCAGGUUGAAGGUUGAGUAACAUCAACUGGAGGACCGAACCGACUAAUGUUGAAAAAUUAGCGGAUGACUUGUGGCUAGGGGUGAAAGGCCAAUCAAACUCGGAGAUAGCUGGUUCUCCCCGAAAGCUAUUUAGGUAGCGCCUCGGACGAAUACUACUGGGGGUAGAGCACUGUUAAGGCUAGGGGGUCAUCCCGACUUACCAACCCUUUGCAAACUCCG
RNAcentral lists this ribosomal RNA (904 nucleotides) under Vibrio cholerae. RNAcentral describes it as "partial 23S ribosomal RNA". It matches the Rfam family "Bacterial large subunit ribosomal RNA", at positions 1 to 958 of the family's 2925-position model. Lineage: Bacteria; Pseudomonadati; Pseudomonadota; Gammaproteobacteria; Vibrionales; Vibrionaceae. The record is from RNAcentral.